UACGUAGGUGGCAAGCGUUAUCCGGAUUUACUGGGUGUAAAGGGUGUGUAGGCGGGGGAGCAAGUCAGAUGUGAAGUCUAUGGGCUCAACUCAUAGACUGCGUCUGAAACUGUUCUUCUUGAGAGUCGGAGGGGUAAUUGGAAUUCCCGGUGUAACGGUGAAAUGCGUAGAUAUCGGGAGGAACACCGGUGGCGAAGGCGGAUUACUGGACGACAACUGACGCUGAGACACGAAAGCGUGGGAGAAACAG
Molecule: ribosomal RNA, 250 nt
Filed under: uncultured prokaryote
Description: partial 16S ribosomal RNA
Rfam family: Bacterial small subunit ribosomal RNA
Source: RNAcentral